CGCCAGCCCGCUCAGAAACUUAAAUGAAUUGACGGGGCCCGCACAAGCGGUGAGCAUGUGGUUUAAUUCGAUGAUACGCGAGGAACCUUACCUGGGCUCAAAUGUAUGUUGACGUAUUCUGAAAGGGAUACUUCUUCGGACAAUAUACAAGGUGCUGCAUGGUUGUCGUCAGCUCGUGCCGUGAGGUGUCGGGUUAAGUCCCAUAACGAGCGCAACCCCUAUCAUUAGUUGCCAUCAGGUCAAGCUGGGGACUCUAAUGAAACUGCCUACGCAAGUAGUGAGGAAGGUGGGGAUGACGUCAAAUCAGCACGGCCCUUACGUCCAGGGCGACACACGUGUUACAAUGGGUGGUACAAAGGGCAGCUACCUGGCGACAGGAUGCUAAUCUCCAAAACCACUCUCAGUUCGGAUCGGAGUCUGCAACUCGACUCCGUGAAGCUGGAUUCGCUAGUAAUCGCGCAUCAGCCACGGCGCGGUGAAUACGUUCCCGGGCCUU
Molecule: ribosomal RNA, 496 nt
Filed under: uncultured Sphingobacteriales bacterium
Lineage: Bacteria; Pseudomonadati; Bacteroidota; Sphingobacteriia; Sphingobacteriales
Description: bacterial SSU rRNA
Rfam family: Bacterial small subunit ribosomal RNA
Source: RNAcentral